CUCUGCCUCCCGUGCCUACUGAGCUGAAACACA
This 33-nucleotide unclassified non-coding RNA is filed under the name Lemur catta (Ring-tailed lemur). RNAcentral describes it as "partial precursor microRNA mir-24-2". Lineage: Eukaryota; Metazoa; Chordata; Mammalia; Primates; Lemuridae. The record is from RNAcentral.